This 71-nucleotide transfer RNA is filed under the name Camelus bactrianus (Bactrian camel). It matches the Rfam family "tRNA". Rfam says of the family: Transfer RNA (tRNA) molecules are approximately 80 nucleotides in length. Their secondary structure includes four short double-helical elements and three loops (D, anti-codon, and T loops). Lineage: Eukaryota; Metazoa; Chordata; Mammalia; Artiodactyla; Camelidae. RNAcentral also lists the same sequence under 2 other names. The record is from Rfam by way of RNAcentral.
GAGGGUAUAGCUCAGAGUAAAGCACAGGCUUAGCAUGCAGGAGGUCCUGGGUUCAAUCCCCAGUACCUCUA